UACGUAGGGGGCCAGCGUUGUCCGGAAUUACUGGGCGUAAAGGGCGCGUAGGCGGCCUUCUAAGUCGAGCGUGAAAUCCCCGGGCUCAACCCGGGAACUGCGUCCGAUACUGGGAGGCUUGAAUCCGGGAGAGGGAUGUGGAAUUCCAGGUGUAGCGGUGAAAUGCGUAGAUAUCUGGAGGAACACCGGUGGCGAAGGCGGCAUCCUGGACCGGUAUUGACGCUGAGGCGCGAAAGCCAGGGGAGCAAACGGG
This 253-nucleotide ribosomal RNA is filed under the name uncultured bacterium. RNAcentral describes it as "partial 16S ribosomal RNA". It matches the Rfam family "Bacterial small subunit ribosomal RNA", at positions 524 to 776 of the family's 1533-position model. The record is from RNAcentral.